Molecule: long non-coding RNA, 696 nt
Organism: Cebus imitator (Panamanian white-faced capuchin)
Lineage: Eukaryota; Metazoa; Chordata; Mammalia; Primates; Cebidae
Exons: 3
Source: RefSeq, a predicted model, not a curated record
AACUGAUGAAAGACUUGAUUAUGUAUAUCUGAAGAAGUGGGCCACAUGAAAUUUGAAAAGGAAAUGAGUUUUUUUGUUUGUUUUUUGGAAGUAAAGGCAAACAUGUAUUAUCUGAUGAAUUCUAGUGAAACGACCCCUUAACUUUGCUUUUAUCAGUACAGAUAUUUACUGUGGAGAACUAGUUUAUAAUGUAACAAAAAUUUACAAUUGAUUAAAAGUGACCAUGCCUUGGAUACAUGCAAAUCUGCAGAGUUGUCAUAUAAUUCUUCCUCUACAAAAAGUAGGUAUAGGAAAGACUGAAUAAAAAUGAAGAGAUAUCCACUUGGAUUCCCCUUGCAUUGUGCAACAAGCAAAGAAGGGUUAAUAAAAGUCCUUGAACAAAAAGUUCAAAUAAACCAGAAUUUUAGACAGCAAGCUAAAUAAAUAUUGUAAAGUUGCACUAUAUUAGGUUUAGUAUUAUUUUGGUAUUAUAAUAUGCUUUGUAAAUGUUAUAUUCCAAAUAUUAUUCAAUAUGUGUCAUCUAUUAAUUUCUAGUAUAAAGAGGUAGCCUCUAUAUCUGUCUUAGUCUAUUAUAAUUGUAAGCAGUAAAAUUAAAUUAAUAAUCUGAAGGUAUAAAUUUGAACAAUGCAUAGAUGAUCGAAAAUUAUGGAAAGUCACAGGGCAGAAAUGUGUGAAGAGUCGUCAUUAUGUAAAACA